UAGGGAAUCUUCGGCAAUGGACGAAAGUCUGACCGAGCAACGCCGCGUGAGUGAAGAAGGUUUUCGGAUCGUAAAACUCUGUUGUUAGAGAAGAACAAGGACGUUAGUAACUGAACGUCCCCUGACGGUAUCUAACCAGAAAGCCACGGCUAACUACGUGCCAGCAGCCGCGGUAAUACGUAGGUGGCAAGCGUUGUCCGGAUUUAUUGGGCGUAAAGCGAGCGCAGGCGGUUUCUUAAGUCUGAUGUGAAAGCCCCCGGCUCAACCGGGGAGGGUCAUUGGAAACUGGGAGACUUGAGUGCAGAAGAGGAGGGUGGAAUUCCAUGUGUAGCGGUGAAAUGCGUAGAUAUAGGGAGGAACACCAGUGGCGAAGGCGGCUCUCUGGUCUGUAACUGACGCUGAGGCUCGAAAGCGUGGGGAGCAAACAGG
RNAcentral lists this ribosomal RNA (429 nucleotides) under Gemmatimonadota bacterium. RNAcentral's name for it is "Gemmatimonadetes bacterium partial 16S ribosomal RNA". It matches the Rfam family "Bacterial small subunit ribosomal RNA", at positions 355 to 776 of the family's 1533-position model. Lineage: Bacteria; Pseudomonadati; Gemmatimonadota. The record is from RNAcentral.